RNAcentral lists this ribosomal RNA (247 nucleotides) under uncultured bacterium. RNAcentral describes it as "partial 16S ribosomal RNA". It matches the Rfam family "Bacterial small subunit ribosomal RNA", at positions 523 to 769 of the family's 1533-position model. The record is from RNAcentral.
AUACGUAGGGGGCGAGCGUUGUCCGGAAUGACUGGGCGUAAAGGGCGCGUAGACGGCUGUCUAAGUCUGGAGUGAAAGUCCUGCUUUCAAGGUGGGAAUUGCUUUGGAGACUGGAUGGCUUGAGUGCGGAAGAGGUAAGUGGAAUUCCCAGUGUAGCGGUGAAAUGCGUAGAGAUUGGGAAGAACACCAGUGGCGAAGGCGACUUACUGGGCCGUAACUGACGUUGAAGCACGAAAGCGUGGGGAGC